RNAcentral lists this transfer RNA (68 nucleotides) under Xyloterini sp. RNAcentral's name for it is "tRNA-Gln". The record is from RNAcentral. Lineage: Eukaryota; Metazoa; Arthropoda; Insecta; Coleoptera; Curculionidae.
UAUACUUUAGUAUAUAUGUAUGACAGUUUUUGAUAUUGUAGGAGUUAGUAGUAUUCUAGCAAGUAUAU